AAAAAGGAAUUUCUUUAUUUUUUUCAAUCAGAUUCCAAGAAUUCAUUUAAUUAACAUUUGAACAAUCACAAGUUUUAGUACAACGAGAGUAAAGAAGCAUAAACUGCUUGAGAUGACACUGGAGAGCAUGAGUAGACAUCCUGGAAGAAUCAUCAGGAAGCAUGUAAAGACCAUCUUUAAGCCUUAUUUUAAGAAGAGCUGUCCCCAUAUCCUUGUCCUUAUAAAAGCAAAUUUUUUAUGAAACUCAAUAAAAAUAGCAUUGUCAUCAGUCAGUUUAGACAUACUAACAAGAUUCUUUUUUAUCUCUGGAACUUGAAGCACAAAAUUUAAUUGUAAUGGACUAGUAGAUGAAGAUGAUAAGGUAGCAGAAUGUAUGUGAGUAAUAAGUAAAGCCUUAGCUAGAGUCUCAGUCCUAGGAUAGGCAACUGUGGAGUCCAAAUUGUCAGGUCCAUUUGGAACAUGGUUCGUGGUUCUUGUAUCAACAGACCAGGCAUAACCAUUGCCAAAAUUAGGAAUGGUAGUGGCAUAUACUUGAGGAUGGGUGUUACACAUUCCAACUCAGUCAAGUAGGUUCUUGAAAAGGGUCCAUUUGGCUUGGGAGUAACCCAGUUUCUAUCAAAAUGGUAGUGACAUGCAGUAGUCGUGUGUCCAAGUUUAAGACAAACUUGGUUGAUGAGACGAGAAAAAGACGAAGGAUAGCCACGAGGAGCACCACGAUGAUUGGUUCUUGAAGCAUCUUGGUAAUUUCCUCGAACAAAUGGAGGAGGGGCCUAUAAUUUCCAUUUCUUAAAGAUCCAAAUGCAAUAUUGGCUUGCAUCUUGACACUAAGAUCGGUCAUGACAUUGUGAUGCUCGAGAAGACUUUCAUGAGAUAUGAGCAAUGCUUAAACCUCUUCAAUUGAUAAAGAAUCGCUUCGAGAUGUAAUUCUAGAGACAAUAGGAUCAAAUUUAGGGCCUAGACCAUUGAGAAGUUGAAGAACAAUGUCUUCAUUCGUCAAAGAUGAAUCAACAACAUCAAGAGAGUCGGCUAAAGGCCGAGCUUCGUCAACAUAGUCCGAAACUGAUAAGUUUUCCUUCUGCACAUGAGAAAACUGACCCUUCAGUUGAAGCAGUCUUGCACGCGAUUGCUAAGAAAAUUUUUGUUCGAGAGCUUGCCAAACAACAAAGUAGGUGGAAUGAUUAGCAACAGAAGCCAAGAUCCCUUCAGAUAUGGAGGACUGGAGCCAAGAAAGCAACAAUUGAUCGUAUUUCUUCAAUUGAGUGUAGAUCAGAUUGAUUUCACUAGUGACCAAAUGCUGAACAUGAGGGACACCACUGAACAUAAUUUCAUCCAAUUCCUGCCUGAAUACUGUUGGCACAAACCGAGACUUCCACGUAGGAAAAUUAAUUCAAUCUAACUUUAAAGUAAGAGAAGAAGAGAGUGAACUGGACAAAGGAUUCCAGAUCGAUGUGGCCGGAGUAAGGGCAGGAGCAAGCACAGACAGAGGGUGAUUGAUUACAUGAGCAGUGGUACGUUUAGUUGAAUUUGUAGGAUCGAAAAAAGUGGAGGUAUGAAUCGAAGACUCCAGGUGACUGAUACCAUGUAGAAGCUCAACUAAAGCAAGCUAAAAGAGAGAAGGUAAGAACCACAGAAGAGAGAAACACAGUAAAGAAAAUGCUUAAGAAAGCUU
This is a long non-coding RNA of Cannabis sativa, 1669 nucleotides long. RefSeq lists it as uncharacterized. NCBI's taxonomy places the organism in Eukaryota, Viridiplantae, Streptophyta, Magnoliopsida, Rosales, Cannabaceae. The transcript has 2 exons. The record is from RefSeq and is a predicted model, not a curated record.